RNAcentral lists this ribosomal RNA (278 nucleotides) under uncultured prokaryote. Its description in RNAcentral is "partial 16S ribosomal RNA". It matches the Rfam family "Bacterial small subunit ribosomal RNA", at positions 524 to 801 of the family's 1533-position model. The record is from RNAcentral.
UACGUAGGGGGCUAGCGUUAUCCGGAAUUACUGGGGCGUAAAGGGUGCGUAGGCGGUCUUUCAAGCCAGAAGUGAAAGGCUACGGCUCAACCGUAGUAAGCUUUUGGAACUGUAAGACUUGAGUGCAGGAGAGGAGAGUGGAAUUCCUAGUGUAGCGGUGAAAUGCGUAGAUAUUAGGAGGAACACCAGUUGCGAAGGCGGCUCUCUGGACUGUAACUGACGCUGAGGCACGAAAGCGUGGGGAGCAAACAGGAUUAGAUACCCCCGUAGUCCCUGAG